ACAACAUUUGUAGCAAUACAGAUGUUGUUUAGUGGCGAACGGGUGCGUAACACGUGGGGAAUCUGCCGAGAAGUGGGGGAUAGCUCGCCGAAAGGCGAAUUAAUACCGCAUAUGAUCAGGGAAGACAUCUUUCCGACAUCAAAGCCGGGGCAACCUGGCGCUUCUUGAUGACCCCGCGGCCUAUCAGCUAGUUGGUGAGGUAACGGCCCACCAAGGCGAUGACGGGUAGCUGGUCUGAGAGGACGACCAGUCACACUGGAACUGAGACACGGUCCAGACACCUACGGGUGGCAGCAGUCGAGAAUUUUUCUCAAUGGGGGCAACCCUGAAGGAGCGACGCCGCGUGGAGGAUGAAGGCUUUCGGGUUGUAAACUCCUGUCAUUUGAGAACAAGUGGCCGAAAUUAACUACUUCGGCCUUGAUAGUAUCAGAAGAGGAAGGGACGGCUAACUCUGUGCCAGCAGCCGCGGUAAUACAGAGGUCCCGAGCGUUGUUCGGAUUCAUUGGGCGUAAAGGGUGCGUAGGUGGCGCCGUAAGUGGGGUGUGAAAUCCCGGGGCUUAACCCCGGGACUGCAUUCCAUACUGCGGUGCUUGAGGACUGGAGAGGAGACUGGAAUUUACGGUGUAGCAGUGAAAUGCGUAGAGAUCGUAAGGAAGACCAGUGGCGAAGGCGGGUCUCUGGACAGUUCCUGACACUGAGGCACGAAGGCCAGGGGAGCAAACGGGAUUAGAUACCCCGGUAGUCCUGGCAGUAAACGGUGCACGUUUGGUGUGGGANGAUUCGACCCCUUCCGCGCCGGAGCUAACGCGUUAAACGUGCCGCCUGGGGAGUACGGUCGCAAGAUUAAAACUC
This 852-nucleotide ribosomal RNA is filed under the name uncultured Verrucomicrobiota bacterium. RNAcentral's name for it is "bacterial SSU rRNA". It matches the Rfam family "Bacterial small subunit ribosomal RNA", at positions 66 to 902 of the family's 1533-position model. The record is from RNAcentral. Lineage: Bacteria; Pseudomonadati; Verrucomicrobiota.